This 335-nucleotide ribosomal RNA is filed under the name uncultured Pseudomonas sp. Its description in RNAcentral is "bacterial SSU rRNA". It matches the Rfam family "Bacterial small subunit ribosomal RNA", at positions 50 to 387 of the family's 1533-position model. Lineage: Bacteria; Pseudomonadati; Pseudomonadota; Gammaproteobacteria; Pseudomonadales; Pseudomonadaceae. The record is from RNAcentral.
AACACAUGCAAGUCGAGCGGAUGACGGGAGCUUGCUCCUUGAUUCAGCGGCGGACGGGUGAGUAAUGCCUAUUAAUCUGUCUGGUACUGGGGGACAACGUUUCGAAAGGAACGCUAAUACCGCAUACGUCCUACGGGAGAAAGCAGGGGACCUUCGGGCCUUGCGCUAUCAGAUGAGCCUAGGUCGGAUUAGCUAGUUGGUGGGGUAAUGGCUCACCAAGGCGACGAUCCGUAACUGGUCUGAGAGGAUGAUCAGUCACACUGGAACUGAGACACGGUCCACACUCCUACGGGAGGCAGCAGUGGGGAAUAUUGGACAAUGGGCGAAAGCCUGAU